GGACAGGUGUCCGAGCGGUCUAUGGAGACGGUCUUGAAAACCGUUGUGGUGCAAGCCACCGCGAGUUCGAAUCUCGCUCUGUCCGCAA
Molecule: transfer RNA, 88 nt
Filed under: Bifidobacterium thermophilum
Lineage: Bacteria; Bacillati; Actinomycetota; Actinomycetes; Bifidobacteriales; Bifidobacteriaceae
Description: tRNA-Ser
Rfam family: tRNA
About the family: Transfer RNA (tRNA) molecules are approximately 80 nucleotides in length. Their secondary structure includes four short double-helical elements and three loops (D, anti-codon, and T loops).
Source: RNAcentral